UGUGUGUGUGUGUGUGUGUGUGUGUGUGUUUAAAACACAGAAAAAAGAAGCAUGGCUUUCCUCAGCUGCAGAGGCGGGCCGGGCUCUGUCCGUGCCAACUCCCUCAGAGCGGGCACCAUGGGGACACGGGAGGCACAGGAAGACUGCAGAGGUGAGGGACGGGUAUGGAGAAAGAUGGACGCUUGCCAUCUCGAGUGCCGGCGGCUGCAUGAGGCCAAACCCCAUGAACAAAACCCACAGCAGAUCGCUGGCAGCCCAUGUUAGGAGGCAGAAGACAGUUGGCAGCGCUGCUGCAGAGGACAGCCUGGGAGCAGGUGGAUGUGGGCAAGGCCAGCAUGGAGCAGAUGCCUGCACACCCACAUAUGGAGGAUCCCCGCCCCCCAGGAAAGUGUGGAUUCAUUCAGCCUCACUUUCCCCUUCUACUCCUUACUUUGGCUGGAAACGAUGGUAUAGGUGUAAAGGGCUUGAAGCAAUCGGAACUGAAGGCAACCGGAAGUCGUCAGCAAGCAGGCUCCCUCCACCCUCAAGGGGCCAGCGCCUGAGGGCAGAUCUGAAGCACGCAGAAGGGCAGGUGAUCCUGUAUCUGGUCAGAAGGGGAAUGGAAAAUCGGACCAAGACGCGCAGCAAGUGCAGGGGGAAGACUGUCACCCCAAGGCCUGACCUCACCCAUUUGAUUUCAAGUAUCUCUCAGAUAAGGAUAUAAGGAGCAUCAUCAGUUUUCAACACAGCUGGCACGGAUGGGCUGAGGGGGAGCCCAGCGGAGCUCCCAGGCCCAGGCUCGGGCACAAGGCAUUAGCCUCACUCAGCACUUGUUUCAGUACCUUGGAGAGGUCCAGAAACAGGCGUGGCAGUGGACCUCCCCCCAUCUCGGUCCUGUUAACCAGGCCCUGCCCUUUUCCACAGAGGCAGCAGGCCAGAACACCACUGUGGUACCACAAGUCUAGGUUCAGCACUGGCUUCAACACCCACAGGUCUCACGGCCCUGAACACAAUCACUUGGAACCUCUUAGCCUCUUGUAUGUGCCUGGGCCUGAGGGUGCCCCAGGCCACAUUUAAAUGCCUGCUCUAGGAGCCAGCAAGAUGGCUUCGAGGGUAGAAGAUGCUUGCCGCUAAGUCUGACAACCUGAGUCUGAUCCCUGGGAUCCACAUGUUAGAAGAGAACUGACUCAUACAAGUGGUCCUCUCACUUCCAUGUGUGCACAGUAGCAUGUACAUGCCCACAUGCACACACGCACGCACACGCACGCACACACUCACACACAGUGCAAGAAUAAAUAAGAUAUAACCCUCCAUUCCAAGUUAUGUUGGAACUACUCCUAAGUGUCUCUGGGACCCUAGACCACCUGCAGAACAUAAAUUGGUCUCACUGGGUCUGAGGCCACGUCUUGACAUCUGGCAGCACCACUUGUGCAGCGGAGGUGACAGUGCCUGCCACUACUCUCCUUAGGUGUGCAGCUGCUAUGAGCCAGACUUCUGACAGCCACAGCUUGGCCUCUCAUAUCUAUCUCCCCGAGCCCCUUGGGUCUAGACUUGUCAACAGAACCUUCUGUGCCAGUAGCAACUGUGCCAGGAGGGGCUGAUCUACAGACUGUGGCCUUUGUGGAGGAAGGUGGCGCCAGCCGCGCAAACCUUGGUGAUAAGGCCUCACUGAACAAUGUGGCUGCGUGUAUCCUGCUCCACAGAGGGAAGUCAGGGAGGGUUUCCUGGAGGAGGGAGGUAGCAAAUUGAUUAUGGAGGGUACACCAGGAUGGGUGACCCUGAGAGGACACAGGGUGAGGAACACAGGCUUGACUGGACUGGAGGAGCACGUCUAUCUUGGGCUUCCAUCUGGGUUACUAGAAGAUGCAGUUACCAUGGAGAGUGGGGGUCGGGGAGCAUCAGUGAAAGGUGCAGGCCCCAUAGCCCACAUGGCUGGAGAGACAACCAUAUGGGGGUAGUCCUCACAGCUACGGCUGCUAAAGAACACAGGAGAAGGAACAGAUGGGAAAUGAUGGACGUGUUGGACAGACAGAGUGAGGGAAGGGAUUUAGGAGAAGACUCACCAUGGAGCAGAAGGGGUGGGGACUGUGACUCGGGUCCAGCCCCAGGAUAACACACUGAGGUUUGAAAGAUAAAGCUGAGUGCAUCAUAAGUGAGUCGAUACUGUCCCAGUCAAGGAAGGUGACCCUGUGUGGAGGCCAGUGUAGAGCAAACCUUCAGAGAAUCCCCCCUCCCCACCCCCCGUGACCAGCCCAGGGUGACAGAUGGGGAGGCCAGCAACAGUCUUCACUGGAAAGGUGUAAUAAUUAAGCACCAGCAGGUCACAUGGUCACUGAAACAGAAGAAAGGAGGCAGUCCCAGCCUGGCAGGGCUGCCUGUGUGUGGUCCCUAUGAAGUAGUGAAUGGUGCCUCUGCAUGUCCACCUGCCCAGCAACCCCUGCAGGCUCACUGGAAGUCUCUAUAGCAGUGCUGAGCAGGCAGUGCUGGGCAGGAGGCUGGCUCCAUGGGAUGUCCUUCUCUGCUGUACCCACCUUGGAUGGGCACCCACCCUCUAGGACCUCUGACCAGCCAAGCUAUACAUGUUGGCCCUCCCCCCAAAGAUUUACCAAUCCCCUCACCCCACCUUUGCCACAAGGUCCUGCCUCUUACCCAGCCACCAGACCCCAGAAUGCUCUCUCCAUUCUGAUCUGCCCUUGAGUGAUAGCUGGGGGCCGAGUCAAAGACAGGCCCAGCACACAGUGAGGAACAGGUUGGUGAGGCCCCAGCUCCAGCUUUAUGUGCAUUUGAGCUAUAAUAACUGUCACACUCCAGCUCUUGUGAUGCCCAAGGACCCAUCCAGUUCCACUAGCCGUGCUGUUCCCACCAAGUGGGGGAGGGGACGCAUCUCCAGCAAUCCCAGUGGCUGAGCUGACAGGCUGAACCACUCUCGGAUCUCUUCCUUUCUAUUUUUCAUACCCAUCUUUCCCCUGAAGAGGCCUGAGAGUUGCCACUCCCCUGGAAUUUGGGAUCUGCAUAUUCAGGUGCCAGGACGUUCAGAGAGGAGGACCCUGGUCUCAACAAAGGACAGCCAUCUAUGCCAUAGACAAUCUGUGGUUUCUACAAAUGCUAUUUUGUUUUCUGACAUUUCUCAAACUUGCAUCGGAAGCAGAUGUAUACAUGUUACAAAUAAAAUUUCCAGAAGAACCAGUCUUUGUCCACAAGGGGCCUUGGCAUCUGCUGGCCUGUCUGAGCUUGGCAUUCUGAAGACCAUUCCACUGGAGUGCCCCCAGCUGUGGCUUCUUCUUCUCUAGCCACCUCUGGAGUCCGAACCUGCAGAAGCCCCACCCUUGCUUUGCCUCUCAACCUGGUUCAGGUAGCCCCAUCCUCCAUGGCUACAGCCACGCUAUGGAUGCUCAUGGAGCCAAGCACAGAGUUGAGAGCAAUGGAAUUCCCAGACACCAGCAUGCUCUGCUCUAUGCACUCAGGGGCCCUGCAGCCAGCACCACCUUGGCUUACAGCCCCAACAGGACAUGGGAACACUGAAGGGGGAUGUCUAUCAGCUUCUUCUCAGGCCAAUCCAUGGCUCCCCUCUGCAAAGUCGCUGUGUGUGGGAUCCUUGGUCUCUGCUCAUAUGUCACUUGCCUGGACCCUGGGGACCACAAACAUGCCUAUGAGCUGGGUGGCUACAGGGCCACACACGUGGCAAUCCUCAGCAGACACACGGUGGAAGGCUAAAUUGUGGCCUCCAGUAGCCUGAGUCCUCUCACCUUGGAGGGGGAAACUGGCUGCCUGCCCUGCACAGAGAAGGAUACAGACACUAGGCUCAGACCUACCAUUCCUAGACUGGCGAUACCUUCCCUGGACUCAGUUAUGACAGUAUGCAUCCAAGGGCUGUCACAGAGGAAAAGGCAGAGGCUAGGAUUCCCAGCCCUGUUCCCACUUCUGGAAAAAAGCGGGUGGCCCCAGCCCACCCCCUCUUCUGA
Molecule: long non-coding RNA, 3941 nt
Organism: Onychomys torridus (southern grasshopper mouse)
Lineage: Eukaryota; Metazoa; Chordata; Mammalia; Rodentia; Cricetidae
Exons: 3
Source: RefSeq, a predicted model, not a curated record